UCUGCAUGUUUCUUCAAGGCCUCAAAUUAAAAGCCUGUUAUUUUAAUCUGCCAAUUCCUUGACUUUAUUUCCACAAACAGCCUCAGACACUUUGACUUAAAAUCAUUUUUGCCUCCACAAUUUGCCCUUUAUUUUGACA
Long non-coding RNA from Thalassophryne amazonica, 139 nucleotides. RefSeq lists it as uncharacterized. The record is from RefSeq and is a predicted model, not a curated record. NCBI's taxonomy places the organism in Eukaryota, Metazoa, Chordata, Actinopteri, Batrachoidiformes, Batrachoididae. The transcript is spliced from 3 exons.